Arachis ipaensis is the source of this 411-nucleotide non-coding RNA. NCBI's taxonomy places the organism in Eukaryota, Viridiplantae, Streptophyta, Magnoliopsida, Fabales, Fabaceae. The record is from RefSeq and is a predicted model, not a curated record.
AUUCGUCCUCGCUCUCGCCCAAGACCCCGCAUUGAGAUUGAUAAUUACCCCCUUGGUAAAUAGAGACAGGGUAGAUAUUUGAGAAUUCGGAUAGUGUCAUUCCUAAGUAAGACCCAUGAACUUUGUGCGGAGACAUCUUGUCCUGUUUCAAUUGGUGAUUUUAAUGUUGUUUAUACUCAAGUUCUACCUGGUUUCACACCUCCGGGUUCAUAUUCAUUGAAGAUGAAGAUGUUUGAUGGAAGCAAGAAUGAAGUGACGUACUUGCAUUGAAUUUGGUUUCUAUAUUGGGUUUGUUACUUUGUUUCCACCUACCAUUGCUGAUAUAUAGCUGAGUGAACUUUGGUACAUGUCAUGAAAUCUAUUAUGAUCAGUUCCACAUAAAUUAAACUGCAGAAGACCCCUUAAUAUUUA